Molecule: ribosomal RNA, 253 nt
Filed under: uncultured bacterium
Lineage: Bacteria
Description: partial 16S ribosomal RNA
Rfam family: Bacterial small subunit ribosomal RNA
Source: RNAcentral
UACAGAGGGGGCAAGCGUCGUUCGGAAUUACUGGGCGUAAAGGGCGCGUAGGCGGCCUGCUAAGUCGAACGUGAAAUCCCUGGGCUCAACCCAGGAACUGCGUCCGAUACUGGUUGGCUUGAAUCCGGGAGAGGGAUGUGGAAUUCCAGGUGUAGCGGUGAAAUGCGUAGAUAUCUGGAGGAACACCGGUGGCGAAGGCGACAUCCUGGACCGGCAUUGACGCUGAGGCGCGAAAGCCAGGGGAGCAAACGGG